UGGGGAAUUGUUCACAAUGGGCGCAAGCCUGAUGACGCAACGCCGCGUGGGGGAUGAAGGUCUUCGGAUUGUAAACCCCUGUCGAAUGGGACGAAAGACUCGCGAUCUAACAUGUCGCGAGAUUGACGGUACCGUUAAAGGAAGCCACGGCUAACUCUGUGCCAGCAGCCGCGGUAAUACAGAGGUGGCAAGCGUUGUUCGGAAUUACUGGGCGUAAAGGGCGCGUAGGCGGCCAUCUAAGUCAGACGUGAAAUCCCCCGGCUUAACCUGGGAACUGCGUCUGAUACUGGACGGCUCGAGUAUGGGAGAGGGAUGUAGAAUUCCAGGUGUAGCGGUGAAAUGCGUAGAUAUCUGGAGGAAUACCGGUGGCGAAGGCGGCAUCCUGGACCAUUUACUGACGCUGAGGCGCGAAAGCUAGGGGAGCAAACGGG
Molecule: ribosomal RNA, 431 nt
Filed under: Bacillota bacterium
Lineage: Bacteria; Bacillati; Bacillota
Description: Firmicutes bacterium partial 16S ribosomal RNA
Rfam family: Bacterial small subunit ribosomal RNA
Source: RNAcentral